Molecule: ribosomal RNA, 253 nt
Filed under: uncultured bacterium
Lineage: Bacteria
Description: partial 16S ribosomal RNA
Rfam family: Bacterial small subunit ribosomal RNA
Source: RNAcentral
UACAGGGGGGGCAAGCGUUGUUCGGAAUUACUGGGCGUAAAGCGCACGUAGGCGGCUUUGUAAGUUAGAGGUGAAAGCCCAGGGCUCAACCCUGGAAUUGCCUUUAAGACUGCAUCGCUUGAACAUCGGAGAGGUAAGUGGAAUUCCGAGUGUAGAGGUGAAAUUCGUAGAUAUUCGGAAGAACACCAGUGGCGAAGGCGACUUACUGGACGAUUGUUGACGCUGAGGUGCGAAAGCGUGGGGAGCAAACAGG